Molecule: ribosomal RNA, 497 nt
Filed under: uncultured bacterium
Lineage: Bacteria
Description: partial 16S ribosomal RNA
Rfam family: Bacterial small subunit ribosomal RNA
Source: RNAcentral
GAUGAACGCUGGCGGCGUGCCUAAUACAUGCAAGUCGAGCGAACGGACGAGAAGCUUGCUUCUCUGAUGUUAGCGGCGGACGGGUGAGUAACACGUGGAUAACCUACCUAUAAGACUGGGAUAACUUCGGGAAACCGUAGCUAAUACCGGAUAAUAUUUUGAACCGCAUGGUUCAAAAGUGAAAGACGGUCUUGCUGUCACUUAUAGAUGGAUCCGCGCUGCAUUAGCUAGUUGGUAAGGUAACGGCUUACCAAGGCAACGAUGCAUAGCCGACCUGAGAGGGUGAUCGGCCACACUGGAACUGAGACACGGUCCAGACUCCUACGGGAGGCAGCAGUAGGGAAUCUUCCGCAAUGGGCGAAAGCCUGACGGAGCAACGCCGCGUGAGUGAUGAAGGUCUUCGGAUCGUAAAACUCUGUUAUUAGGGUAGAACAUAUGUGUAAGUAACUGUGCACAUCUUGACGGUACCUAAUCAGAAAGCCACGGCUAACUACGUG